Molecule: long non-coding RNA, 1308 nt
Filed under: Chloebia gouldiae (Gouldian finch)
Lineage: Eukaryota; Metazoa; Chordata; Aves; Passeriformes; Passeridae
Description: Erythrura gouldiae (Gouldian finch) lncRNA (ENSEGOG00005017667.1)
Source: RNAcentral
CCCGGGGAACAUUCUGGGGACACUUUUAAUUCAGACCUCACAAGGGUUUAGACCAGCUGACGUUUCCCCUUGAAGAGUCCCCAGUUCAGUUUCCAACCAAAAUAACCUGGUUUUGCCAUUUCCUUAUCAACACUGAGCCCCCACCAAAACAACAAGAAAUGAAAGUCACAAAAAGCUCAGCAGCCAGAGGCAAAAACAUUUAAACUUUUAUUCCAUUUCCUUUACAAACCCACCUGGGGAUGUCCCAAACCCGCCUGGGGAUAUUCAGGAUUCCAAGGUUGGAAUUCUACAACUCAAACUCAACCCCCUGCUCUUCACACCCAGCAGUAAAUCCCACAGGGUCCAGCUGCCUUUGGGAUCCUCCCUUUUUUCCACAGAAUUCUCUGCCUUUUUUCCACAGAAUUCUCUCCCUUUUUUCCACAGAAUUCUCUGCCUUUUUUCCACAGAAUUCUCUGCCUUUUUUCCACAGAAUUAUCUCCCUUUUUUCCACAGAAUUCUCUCCUUUUUUUCCACAGAAUUCUCUGCCUUUUUUCCCACAGGAUCCUCUUGCUUUUUUUCCACAGGAUACUCUCCCUUUUUCCAUGGGUUUCUCUCCUUUUUUUUCCCAUGGGUUUCUCUCCCUUUUUCCUGAAGGAUUCUCUCCCUUUUUCCCCACAAUUCUCUCCCCUUUUCCCAUGGGUUUCUCUCCCUUUUCCCCAGAGGUUUCUCUCCCUUUUUUCCACAAAAUUCUCUCCCUUUUUUCCAUGGGUUUCUCUCCCUUUUUAUCACAGGAUUCUCUCCCCUUUUCCCAUGGUUUCUCUCCCUUUUUUUCCACAGGAUUCUCUCCCUUUUUUUCCAUGGGUUUCUCUCCCUUUUUAUCACAGGAUUCUCUCCCCUUUUCCCAUGGUUUCUCUCCCUUUUUUUCCAUAGGAUUCUCUCCCUUUUUUUCCAUGGGUUUCUCUCCCUUUUUUCCAUGGGUUCCUCUCCCUUUUUCCCCACAAAAUUCUUUCCCUUUUUCCAAUGGGUUUCUCUCCCUUUUUCCCAGAGGUUUCUCUCCCUUUUUCCCAUGGGUUUCUCUCCCUUUUUUUCAUGGGUUCCUCUCCCUUUUUCCCCACAAAAUUCUUUCCCUUUUUCCAUGGGUUUCUCUCCCUUUUUUUUCCCACAGAAUUGUCUCCCUUUCCCUCACAGAAUUCUCUCCCUUUUUUCCGUGUGUUUCUCUCCCUUUAUAUCACAGAAUUCUCUCCCUUUUUUCCACAGGAUCCUCUCCUUUUUUUCCACGCUUCUCCCAUCCCACCCCUCCACCCCCUGAAGACAAGAGCCAGUGGAUUU